CUGACUGAAAGGAAAGAGCUCAGUUUAGGGUUUAAAACCCUAAUGCUGACUAAAUGGAAGAGUUUAGUUUAGGGUUUAAAACCCUAAUGCUGACUAACUGGAAAGAGUUCAGUUCAAGGUUUAAAACCCUAAUGCUGACUGAAUGGAAAAGUUCAGUUUAGGGUUUAAAACCCUAAUGUUGAUCAAAGGAAAAAGUUCAGUUUAGGGUUUUAAACCCUAAUGCUGACUAAAAGAAAAGUUCAGUUUAGGGUUUAAAACCCUAAUGCUGACUGAAAGGAAAAAGUUUAGUUUAGGGUUUUAAAACCCUAAUGCUGACUGACUGAAAACAAAGUUCGAGGAUACUAACUGACCUCUUUUUUUGAAUUUUCUUGUUUUAGUAGAAGAUAAAAAGGAGUCCCGUGGAAACUUACCUUUCGAGUGAA
This 422-nucleotide long non-coding RNA is filed under the name Nicotiana tabacum (common tobacco). RNAcentral describes it as "long non-coding RNA (NTAB_LNC005421)". The record is from RNAcentral. Lineage: Eukaryota; Viridiplantae; Streptophyta; Magnoliopsida; Solanales; Solanaceae.